UUGUGGCCAUUUUAUACCUCA
Molecule: non-coding RNA, 21 nt
Filed under: Arabidopsis thaliana (thale cress)
Lineage: Eukaryota; Viridiplantae; Streptophyta; Magnoliopsida; Brassicales; Brassicaceae
Source: RNAcentral